CCUACGGUGGCAGCAGUGAGGAAUAUUGGUCAAUGGGCGGGAGCCUGAACCAGCCAAGUCGCGUGAGGGAAGACGGUCCUAUGGAUUGUAAACCUCUUUAGGCGGGGAGCAAUGCCGGGCACGUGUGCCCGGAGGGAGAGUACCCGCAGAAUAAGCAUCGGCUAACUCCGUGCCAGCAGCCGCGGUAAUACGGAGGAUGCGAGCGUUAUCCGGAUUUAUUGGGUUUAAAGGGUGCGUAGGCGGCUUUUUAAGUCAGCGGUAAAAUGUCCGGGCUGAACCCGGGCCGGCCGUUGAAACUGGGUAUAUGGAGUGUGCGAGAAGUACGCGGAAGGCGCGGUGUCGCGGUUAAAUGCAUCGACAUCGCGCAGAACUCCGUAUGCGAAGGCAGCAUACCGGCGCCCGACUGACGCUGAGGCACGAAAGCGUGGGGAUCGAACAGGAUUAGAUACCGUUGUAGUC
RNAcentral lists this ribosomal RNA (459 nucleotides) under uncultured bacterium. RNAcentral describes it as "partial 16S ribosomal RNA". It matches the Rfam family "Bacterial small subunit ribosomal RNA", at positions 338 to 795 of the family's 1533-position model. The record is from RNAcentral.